AGGGAGAGGAAGGAAUGCUCGCCGUCCGGCUCAAAGCAGAUGCAGGGCUGUGGUGUUUGUGCUGUGCUUCACCCACACACGAGCAGCAGCACAGGAACUGACAGCACCCUGGCUAUCAAAGACAUUGUGGACCACUGCUCCUGAAGGACUGCCAAAAUGAAACAAUGCCAUGCUUACAUUAAUUUUAGCGAAAAGACCUCGUCUGUGCAGCUUUCAAUAUCUACCUUGGGGCUCUUCUUGGUCCAGCUGCGUCUUUUAAACUACUGCUGAGGACAUGACUGACGGUUCUACAGCUCACAGGAAUAAAAGCCCAGCUGCUUUCUGAGGUAGUCACUGAAAAAAAAUGAUCAAAUUAGUGUAGUGGUCUUGUGUUGUAAUUGAAAAUUUCUAUUAAAUCAGGAUCUCACACUGCUAGUUCCAGAUGGGCAAAUAUAUAUUCGUGGUUGGAACUGAGAAGAUGUUGGUCUGGUCCUCCUGAUAGACUUUGUUUAUUGACUUGUGAAUAUUACUAGAUUGAUUUUAUUUCAACAGGAUAUGGAUUCAUUGUUCCCCCUGAUCAAACAGCUUCUACAGAGUGGGGUACAUCCUCAGCUGCUGCAAACCAGCCUACCAUCACUGAAGCUAUUUUAUCCCAAAUCAACACCUGGGGUAACCCUAAACAUCCCAGAUUUGACACACAUCAGAUUGUGGAUGAAAUGUACCCUUUACCUCUGGACCUCGCAGCAGUCAGUUUUGACUGUGUCUUGUGCACAUUAGCAAAAGGGCAGCAAUCCUGUGAAACAAAUCCCCAUUACUUACCAGCAAAGAGGAUAAAAAGGAAAAGGUCCAGAAGGCUGGGAGAGUGUGAAAUGCUAGCUGGGCAUCUGCUAAACUUUCAGUACAUGUUGUCCAGUCUCUUGCAAGCUGAUCAAAGUGUUUUGUUAAUGAAGACAGCUCAAACAAAUUUUAAUUGAUAAGAAAUGUGUUCAGAAGAAAUUUGGCAUAAGAACCAUAGUUCUGUUAGAAAGCAGUCAUAGCCUGGUUUUAGGGUUCCCAGGACAUGACAGGGAGUGUGAAAUGACAGAAUAUCUGACAUAGCCAGGUUGAUACUUUAAUA
Anas platyrhynchos (mallard) is the source of this 1096-nucleotide non-coding RNA. The record is from RefSeq and is a predicted model, not a curated record. Lineage: Eukaryota; Metazoa; Chordata; Aves; Anseriformes; Anatidae.